This 75-nucleotide transfer RNA is filed under the name Asterionellopsis glacialis. RNAcentral describes it as "tRNA-Phe". It matches the Rfam family "tRNA". Rfam says of the family: Transfer RNA (tRNA) molecules are approximately 80 nucleotides in length. Their secondary structure includes four short double-helical elements and three loops (D, anti-codon, and T loops). Further hydrogen bonds mediate the characteristic L-shaped molecular structure. tRNAs have two regions of fundamental functional importance: the anti-codon, which is responsible for specific mRNA codon recognition, and the 3' end, to which the tRNAs corresponding amino acid is attached (by aminoacyl-tRNA synthetases). tRNAs cope with the degeneracy of the genetic code in two manners: having more than one tRNA (with a specific anti-codon) for a particular amino acid; and 'wobble' base-pairing, i.e. permitting non-standard base-pairing at the 3rd anti-codon position. The record is from RNAcentral. Lineage: Eukaryota; Bacillariophyta; Plagiogrammaphyceae; Rhaphoneidales; Asterionellopsidaceae.
UGCCCGGAUAGCUCAGUUGGUAGAGCAGUGGAUUGAAGAUCCUCGUGUCACCAGUUCGAAUCUGGUUCUGGGCAA